CUAAAGCUAAUGGGUCUGCCUUCACCUUUUAUUUUAUGUCCAAUAUAAAUUAAAGCCUCCAUUUCACUCCUUGAAUUAGACCCAAUUUUCAUCACAUGAAAAUUAAUUACCUAUCUAUGAAUUUAUUUUUAGGAACCUUGAAGAAAACAAUUAAUUGCCCAUCUCAUCCAUGCCCCUCUUCUAGCUAAAAAUCAAGUUAGGAGGUUGGAUUAAAGAUAAAUUUCAAGUUAAAGUUUCGGGGAAUGCACUCUAGGUGGAAGGAAAAUCAAGGUAUGAUGGGAUUUUUUAUAUAUGAAAAUUCUUUAUCAUUUCUACUUACUUUCUAUGAGAUAAUUGAAUUUAUUUGAUUUACUGUUAUGCUUAGUUUAGAAUAACUUGAAGGAGAAGUGGGAAAUUCGAAAGGAAAGGAAAAGGAGAAGUGAAAAAGAGAAAGGAGAGAAGGAAUUAAGGGAAACUUGGAGCAAGGAGGUUUGUGCUCACUUUUUUUAAUAAAAUUUUAAUUCUUUCAAUUAUGUUUAAUUUAAAAAUUUGCUGUUAGGGUGAAAUUUAAUCAAGUGAAUAAUAAUUGAAUUAUAAUAAAUGUUUAAAGUUUGAAUAAAUAAUAGAAAGGAUGAAAGAAAAAUUUGACAUGUACGUGAGCAUAGGGCUAAAAUUUAUAGUAGGACUAAAGGGAAAUUUGCUAAAAACUUUUAUCAUAAAAUUUUAAUUGGGUAAGAUUUAAUGAUGGAGAGACUUAUUAGACUAAAAAGAAAAAUUUGGGUACUAAAAUGUAAAUGACUGAAUUAUAUGAUAAGGGCUAAAACUGAGAAUUUGUUAUUUCUCUUGAUGAAAUUUUUGAAUUGGUUAAGAUUUGAUGGAUAGAAAGUAAAUGGACUAAAAAGGAAAUCUGGGAAGAAUGAUAUAAGGAAGGCUGAAAUUUAUAAGUAGGGUUAAAUUAUAUGAAAUGUUUGGGUCAUAUUGUAUGAGUCAGUAUGGCUAGGGAUCCAUUUAAAAUUAGUAAUAUUCUUACUUUGGCACCAACCAAAAGCUUUAAGGGAAGUAUGUUCUGGGCUCCUUAGGCUAUUACUGCAAAUUCAUUCGGCACUAUUUAUUUGACAAGAGCUGCUUGGUUAUUCUUGUUGAUUCUACAGUUAUUCAAAAACAUUUGCUUGAGUUCCAUUCUACUGUAGUUGGUAGCCACUGUAUCUUAUAUAUAGAUAACUUGCCUGCUAAUCUAUAUAGAGGGGAAUGGUGAAGAGUGUUCAAUAAUUUGUCUCUUAAUUCUUUAUUUUCCAUCAACACAAAUAUCAAACCAAGAGUCCCACUGAUCUCUUGUAGGGAUGAGCAGUAUUCGGUUCAAACUGAAAAAACCGAUCGAAUCGAAUUGAUUUAAAAAUUUGGUUCGGUUUUUUAUAUAUUUCAAUUCGGUUCGGUUCGGUUUUUAAUUUCAGAAAUUUCAGUUAUUUCGAUUCGGUUCGAUUUUAAUCAGAAAAAAAUUAAAAAAAUCGAACCGAACCGAUUAGUGAUAAUAAUAUGUUUUUUUAAAAUUAAAUCAUAUUAAAAUUAAAAUAUUUUAAUUAAAUUUUAAAAUAUUAAAAAUAAAGUGUAAAAAAUAAAAAAAUUAUUAAAAAUCGAAACCGAUCAAACCGAAUCAGAUCGGUUCGAUUCGAUUCGAUUUCUGAUCAAAAUCGGUUCGGUUCGAUUUUCACAAACACUAAAAUUUCGAUUUUCAAUUUAUUUAAUUCAGUUCGAUUUUAAACCGAACCGACCGAAUGCUAACCCUAAUCUCUUGUAGUUGUAAACCUCUGAUUUUGUACUGCAUAUACAGUACAAUCUCAAUGAUGAAAACUAAAUUUGGUCUGAACACAUUUGAAGCAAAUUAAAGAGUUUUUAGUAGGUGUCUUAUGCCAUGAAAAAUUAAAAAAAAAAAAAAGACAGAAAAUAAUAAAAAUUUGAAAAUGAGUUGAAGGAUUAAAUAACAGGGAGAAUUGAACUUCAAUUUUGGGCCAUUUAGCCAAAAGUUUGGUCUGUGGGCCUCAUUUAUUUUUUUAAAGUAUUUUCUAUGAGGCUUAAGGUUCAUUUGGGUUUUGAGAAGAAUAGAUUCAAACUUAAAAAAAUAGUGUUGACAGAGAAGGCUUUGGUCGUUGGCCCAUUCAGACAACUAGAGGAGCAUGGAGAUGAUUUUACAAUUUUUAAUAAUUUACGAGAGACUUUAGGAAAAUAAUUAAAAUUUAAUUGAGUUAAAAUUAGCUCCUAAUCAGCCUACGAAAUCCAAAUUAACCGGCCAAACUAAGGGAGAGAGGGAGAUUUUAUUUUCUUUUUUGGGUUUUCCUAUUUAUUCAUCUCAUUCUCUCUCAAAAUCCUAACUUGAACACAUACUCAAAGUUCCCUUUCAUUCCAACCGACCUUCCCAAUCUCCAUAUUCUAAAAUUCUCUCGACUCACUCACUAAGAAAAAUCAAGAAACCCCCUCUUCCUUAGACCUAACCGCUGCCCCCCUCCUCUUCUCGUACUCCCAAAUUUCUUCUUUUUUUUUUUCAUUGUUUUAAUAAAACAUAAAUAAUUUCAAAAAUAAGUAUUCAUGAUAUAAAAUCAACUUCUUUCAUAUUAUUCACUUUAUUUUAAUAUAUUGAUCGCCUCCUAUAUUAAUUUUGAUGUGAAAUUUGAAGGUAACACCAUUUUUGUGCAUGUUUGGCUUAGAGGCACCUACAUUAUGAACCACUGAACCACUUAUUUUGAAUAAUUAUUACAUUUUAAUUCUAUAUAAUUUCAUAUAUUAUUUGCCUUGAUAUAAUUUUCUACAAUUGAUUAUGAAUUUUUAAUAUUUAAAGAGACAAUGAAAUUACAUUAAUCUAUAUCGGCAAGUAGUAGGGGUGUAAACGAACAAAACCGUUCGUGAGCUAUUCGAAGUUCGAUUCGAUAAAAUCUCGACCGAGCUCGACUCGAUUUCUAAACGAGCCAAGCUCGAGCUUAAUUUUUAGGCUCGUUUAGUAAACGAGCCAAGGUUGAGCUCCAUAGUAUUCGACUCGUUAAGGCUCGUGAGCUCGGCUCGUUUUUGAGUUCAUGAGCAGGCUCGCGAAUAGACUCGUGAACAGUCUCGUUAAGCAAACUGAAAUUACUAUCAUAAGAGAAAUAAACUCAAACCCUGCAUAUAUUUUAAUGAGCAAAAUCUAAAUUUUUUAAAAUUCAGCUCUAUAUAGUUUAGUUACACUCUUAAACUUGCAUAUAUUUGGAUCAUUGGGAUUUAAAAACUCAUUUUUAUAAGCUUACAUGCUAAUUUGUAGAUAUACUUAUUUAACUAAAAUUAUUUUAGUUUUAAACUUAUUAGUUUUAAACUAAAGUUCAUUAUACAUGUAAAUAAAUUAAAUUACUCGUGAACUAUUCGAGACUCAGUUCGAUUAAAGCUCGACUCAACUCGAUAAAAGCUCGACUCGUCUAAGCUCGUUUGUUAAACGAGCCAAGCUUGAGUUUCUUAAUACUCGGCUCGAGUUCGAUAUGAGUAAAGCUCGAAUUCGGCUCGAGCUCGAAAAAAUUUUAACGAACCAAGCUUGAACUCUUCAAAUCUCGGCUUGGCUCGGUUCGUUUACACCUCUAGCAAGUAGCAUGAUUUCAAAGACAUGUAAUUUGGCCUUCUAUUCGCAAAAUAAGGUGACUUUUGAGCAUAAAUUAAGUUUUAGAAGUGAACUAAAUUUCUUAUACUUUGAAUUUUUCAUAUUUAAAUAUGUGAAUAAGUGGUAUAUCGCAUACAAAAUCGAUGUUUAAAAUUUAUCAAUUUCUAGAAUAACUAUAUUGCAAAGUUCAUAUCUUGAGUUUUAUUAAUGAUUUUGAGUUGAUUCUUUUCUUAUUGUUUUGUUCUAUAUUUCUAGUUUAUAAAAUUUUAAAUUUUUCUGAGUUGAUUUAUUAUUUUUUUAAAAAUUUUAAAUCUUGAUAUCAUAAUCUACCAUGAUCAGGUAUGCUCAUUAUAGUAUAUUCCUUUUGUAUUAUUUUAAUUUUAAUUACAUAUUUGGUGUUUUGAUUUUUUUUAUAGUAUAUUCUUUUUGUGUUCUUUUAAUUUUAAUUACAUAUUUGGUGUUUUGACUUUUUUUAUUUGUGUUAUUAACAUUUUUUUUUGUCUUAGAAUAGGAGCUAAUGGAGGCUAGAAUUCUCCUUACACUCUUCUUGGCUGAAAUUGUAUUUCCAAAUUGGGAGAUGAUUUUGCUUACAUUAUUUGACUAGGAUAAUCUUCUUUUUUUUUUUAAUUUUCAAAUAUGAUUUGGUUUAUUUUCUUUGUUGUAAUUUUAUUUUAUUUUAUUAUUUGCUUCUUAUUUUAUUUUUUCCUAUUAUGAAAAUUUUAGUUUUGGUAAUUGAGCAUCAAAGAAAGAAGGAUAGCACAUUCUUGUCUUAUUUUUAACCAUGGCCUGCGCCCUCUCCCAUCCUUGGCUUGAGUUGCUUGUUUUAGUAGAUCAAUGGUUGAUCCAAGCAGCCCAUGGGCAUCUUUGAAGACUCUUUGCAAAGGGUUAUGAUUUUAAAGACUUU
This 4493-nucleotide long non-coding RNA is filed under the name Manihot esculenta (cassava). RNAcentral describes it as "long non-coding RNA (MESC_LNC003275)". The record is from RNAcentral. Lineage: Eukaryota; Viridiplantae; Streptophyta; Magnoliopsida; Malpighiales; Euphorbiaceae.